RNAcentral lists this ribosomal RNA (263 nucleotides) under uncultured bacterium. Its description in RNAcentral is "partial small subunit ribosomal RNA". It matches the Rfam family "Bacterial small subunit ribosomal RNA", at positions 26 to 285 of the family's 1533-position model. The record is from RNAcentral.
AGAUUGAACGCUGGCGGUAUGCUUAACACAUGCAAGUCGAACGGUGAAGUGAGGAGCUUGCUCCUUGCGGAUCAGUGGCGAACGGGUGAGUAACACGUGAGUAACCUGCCCUUGACUCUGGGAUAAGCGUUGGAAACGACGUCUAAUACCGGAUACGACCUCCGAAGGCAUCUUCUGGAGGUGGAAAGAAUUUCGGUCAAGGAUGGACUCGCGGCCUAUCAGCUAGUUGGUGAGGUAAUGGCCCACCAAGGCGACGACGGGUA